UAGGGAAUCUUCCACAAUGGACGAAAGUCUGAUGGAGCAACGCCGCGUGAGUGAAGAAAGGUUUCGGCUCGUAAAACUCUGUUGUUAAAGAAGAACAUAUCUGAGAGUAACUGUUCAGGUAUUGACGGUAUUUAACCAGAAAGCCGCGGCUAACUACGUGCCAG
Molecule: ribosomal RNA, 164 nt
Filed under: uncultured bacterium
Lineage: Bacteria
Description: partial 16S rRNA
Rfam family: Bacterial small subunit ribosomal RNA
Source: RNAcentral